This is a long non-coding RNA of Sander lucioperca (pikeperch), 142 nucleotides long. RefSeq lists it as uncharacterized. The record is from RefSeq and is a predicted model, not a curated record. NCBI's taxonomy places the organism in Eukaryota, Metazoa, Chordata, Actinopteri, Perciformes, Percidae. The transcript has 2 exons.
UACCUUACGAGACACCGUAGUUUACACUUGAUCUGUGUAGGUUGCCAUGUUUGUUUAAAACUGUAUGUACUCCGUUAAGGGGAUGAGGGAACCAGCCUUCUCUGUGACAAUAAAACCCAAUGGUCUCAGCCACAAUCUUCAA